RNAcentral lists this ribosomal RNA (406 nucleotides) under uncultured bacterium. RNAcentral's name for it is "partial 16S ribosomal RNA". It matches the Rfam family "Bacterial small subunit ribosomal RNA", at positions 29 to 526 of the family's 1533-position model. The record is from RNAcentral.
AUUGAACGCUGGCGGCAGGCCUAACACAUGCAAGUCGAACGAGUGGCGGAGGGGUGAGUAAUGUCUGGGAAACUGCGCGAUGGAGGGGGAUAACGACGGGAAAAGGUAGCUAAUACCGCAUACCAUCGGAUGUGCCCAGAUGGGUUUAGCUAGUAGGUGGGGUAACGGCUCACCAAGGCGACGAUCCCUAGCUGGUCUGAGAGGAUGACCAGCCACACUGGAACUGAGACACGGUCCAGACUCCUACGGGAGGCAGCAGUGGGGAAUAUUGCACAAUGGGCGCAAGCCUGAUGCAGCCACGCCGCGUGUAUGAAGAAGGCCUUCGGGUUGUAAAGUACUGUCAGCGGGGAGGCGUUACCCGCAGAAGAAGCACCGGCUAACUCCGUGCCAGCAGCCGCGGUAAUAC